CAGUAGCCGCGGUAAUACGUAGGGUGCAAGCGUUAAUCGGAAUUACUGGGCGUAAAGCGUGCGCAGGCGGUUUGUUAAGACAGAUGUGAAAUCCCCGGGCUUAACCUGGGAACUGCAUUUGUGACUGGCAAGCUAGAGUAUGGCAGAGGGGGGUGGAACUCCGCGUGUAGCAGUGAAAUGCGUAGAUAUGCGGAGGAACACCGAUGGCGAAGGCAGCCCCCUGGGCCAAUACUGACGCUCAUGCACGAAAGCGUGGGGAGCAAACAGGAUUAGAUACCCCAGUAGUCCCUGUCUCUUAUAU
This 301-nucleotide ribosomal RNA is filed under the name uncultured bacterium. RNAcentral's name for it is "partial 16S ribosomal RNA". It matches the Rfam family "Bacterial small subunit ribosomal RNA", at positions 509 to 809 of the family's 1533-position model. The record is from RNAcentral.